UUCAGAAAUGUAGAGAUCCGCCUGUUUCAGCAGCUCUCCAAUGAUUAGGACGUUGGAAGUCGUACCAUCACCAGUUAUAUCAUCCUGGGCUGUUGCUACCUUUGCUAUUAAGGAAGCUGUUGGGUGUUGAAUUUGCUGAAAGCAAGGGCGACGGAGCACUUCACCCAGGGCCCCAGGUCGCAGAGGGCCCGGUGCUCGGGGUCCCGCUCCUUCUGCCUCUCCACAUGGUAGGCGUAGAUGGAGAGCAGGAUUCCGGCAGCGCACACUGCAUACCGGGCCACCCGCUCCC
RNAcentral lists this long non-coding RNA (289 nucleotides) under Homo sapiens (human). RNAcentral describes it as "non-protein coding lnc-ERV3-1-3:1". The record is from RNAcentral. Lineage: Eukaryota; Metazoa; Chordata; Mammalia; Primates; Hominidae.